AGCAUGAAGCUGCUGCCGGGGGCUGUGGUGGUGGUGCAUGUGGAGAUGCGAACGUUUCAACACACAUAAAAGGAGAGUGAGUCUGAUACAUUCGUUAUGAAGGCAGCCAGCCCAUAUUCAUUCAACCUCUCAAAUAAGGAAAGCUGAACUGACAGUUUCCUGUUUCCUGAGUAUAUCGAUCAGUAUCAUAUAACCACUCUAAGUAGAGUCUUUACCAGAUUUAUACGAAGAGGCAAAAUCAUUAUAGGGAGGAACUGUGUACCUGUCAUCCCUCUUCCCCUGAUGAAACCACAUCUCAUAUCUACAGUACAUUAUCAAAAUCAGAAAAUUGGUAAAUAACCUUUGAAAAGACAUUACGAUCACAAAGAUAAUUUAAAAGUU
This 381-nucleotide long non-coding RNA is filed under the name Macaca mulatta (Rhesus monkey). RNAcentral describes it as "lncRNA (ENSMMUG00000053280.1)". The record is from RNAcentral. Lineage: Eukaryota; Metazoa; Chordata; Mammalia; Primates; Cercopithecidae.